UGUGCAGGCGGGUGAAGCAGUCGUGCAUGAAAGCCGUUCGCUCAACGGACGGAGGCUGUGCGAUACUUUUCACCUAGAGGGUGUCAGAGGAACGCGGAAUUCCGGGUGUAGUGGUGAAAUGCGUAGAUAUCCGGAAGAACACCAGAGGCGAAGGCGGCGUUCUAGGGCAUACCUGACGCUCAGACACGACAGCAUGGGGAGCGAACGGGAUUAGAAACCCCGGUAGUCCAUGCCGUAAACGAUGGAUGCGAGGCGUGGGACGGAGAAGUCCGUUCCGUGUCGGAGGGAAACCGGUAAGCAUCCCGCCUGGGGAGUACGGUCGCAAGGCUAAA
RNAcentral lists this ribosomal RNA (332 nucleotides) under uncultured bacterium. RNAcentral's name for it is "bacterial SSU rRNA". It matches the Rfam family "Bacterial small subunit ribosomal RNA", at positions 568 to 898 of the family's 1533-position model. The record is from RNAcentral.